Molecule: ribosomal RNA, 574 nt
Filed under: Hyaloscypha sp. I12F-02286
Lineage: Eukaryota; Fungi; Ascomycota; Leotiomycetes; Helotiales; Hyaloscyphaceae
Description: eukaryotic LSU rRNA
Rfam family: Eukaryotic large subunit ribosomal RNA
Source: RNAcentral
AAUGCGGAGGAAAAGAAACCAACAGGGAUUGCCUCAGUAACGGCGAGUGAAGCGGCAACAGCUCAAAUUUGAAAUCUGGCUCUUUCAGGGUCCGAGUUGUAAUUUGUAGAAGAUGCUUUGGGUGUAGCUCCGGUCUAAGUUCCUUGGAACAGGACGUCAUAGAGGGUGAGAAUCCCGUAUGUGACUGGGUGCUUUCGCUCGUGUAAAGCUCUUUCGACGAGUCGAGUUGUUUGGGAAUGCAGCUCAAAAUGGGUGGUAAAUUUCAUCUAAAGCUAAAUAUUGGCCAGAGACCGAUAGCGCACAAGUAGAGUGAUCGAAAGAUGAAAAGCACUUUGGAAAGAGAGUUAAACAGUACGUGAAAUUGUUGAAAGGGAAGCGCUUGCAACCAGACUUGCGCGCUGUUGAUCAUCCGAGCUUCUGCCCGGUGCACUCGACAGCGUUCAGGCCAGCAUCGGUUUUGGUGGGCGGAUAAAGGCCUUGGGAAUGUAGCUUCUUUCGGGGAGUGUUAUAGCCCUCGGUGCAAUGCGCCCUACCGGGACCGAGGACCGCGCUCGGCUAGGAUGCUGCGUAUGCU